Molecule: non-coding RNA, 72 nt
Organism: Podarcis lilfordi (Lilford's wall lizard)
Lineage: Eukaryota; Metazoa; Chordata; Lepidosauria; Squamata; Lacertidae
Source: the annotation of a GenBank genome assembly
GGAGCGUAGCUCAGUGGUAAAGUCAUCUGCCUUGAAUGCAGAAGUUCCCAGAUUUAAUCCCCAGAAGCUCCA